Molecule: ribosomal RNA, 253 nt
Filed under: uncultured bacterium
Lineage: Bacteria
Description: partial 16S ribosomal RNA
Rfam family: Bacterial small subunit ribosomal RNA
Source: RNAcentral
UACGAAGGGUGCAAGCGUUAUCCGGAUUUACUGGGCGUAAAGGGCGCGUAGGCGGCCCUCCUUGUCGCGUGUGAAAGCCCCGGGCUCAACCUGGGAACGGCGCGCGAGACGGGGGGGCUGGAGUUCGGGAGAGGAGCGUGGAAUUCCCAGUGUAGAGGUGAAAUUCGUAGAUAUUGGGAAGAACACCGGUGGCGAAGGCGGCGCUCUGGACCGAGACUGACGCUGAGGCGCGAAAGCGUGGGGAGCAAACAGG